Molecule: long non-coding RNA, 1483 nt
Organism: Piliocolobus tephrosceles (Ugandan red Colobus)
Lineage: Eukaryota; Metazoa; Chordata; Mammalia; Primates; Cercopithecidae
Source: Ensembl
UUUACUUUCAUUUCUUGUCCCUAUGAGAGUCUCGUCUCUACUCUGCACAGGAUAGCCACACAGUCUGCUCUUCUUUUUUUCUGCAGCAUUUCUUUCUGUGUGUGCUUAUCAAGUAUGCACGUGACCAUUCCAUCUUUCAGGUGGCUACAUACUGCCUGGAGCACAUUCCCUUUGAAACCAUCCUGUGGGAGCUUGUGGGUCUUCGUUUAUCAGCUGUUAGACAUAGCCACAGGAGCCAGAAGAAGUGAAAAUAGAACUCCUUCCAAGUCACUGGAAAACCCUCAGGAGUCCUUGAUAACAAAUGGGAAACAGCAGUGCUCGAAAGUGGAUUUCUUUUUACAGGCAAACACUCCGGGAGUCAUUAAAAAUUCCCCCACCCCCACUCCAUCUCUUGCCACCUCCGUCACCCCAUGGAGUCUGCUUCCUCUAUCAUCUUUCUGUGGUGCUGAAUGUAUACGGCCUCUAAACACUCUGGAAUGAAAGUGUUGUGACGGGCACACAGCUGGUCCUGAAAAGGCACAACACUCAGACAAGCAUGUGAGAUUGCAUUCGUCCCUGCUGGGGAGCCCCAAGCUUUAGAGCAUCUGCUGCGUUAGAUGACCUGGGCAAUGCGUGGAAGAAGGCUAGCGCCUUGCUGCCCAGAGUAUGGUCUGUGACAUCACCUGGGAUCUUGUUAGAAAUAUAGAACCUCAGGCCCUGCCUAAGGCUUUUUGAAUCAAACUCUGCAUUUUAGCAAGCUCUUCUGGUGAUUUGUGCAUAUAUCACAAGUAUAGUCAGCAUCUGCUAUUUUUGUCUGCCCUGCAUUUCUUACUUGGGGCCUCCCACCCCUUCUGGAAAGAACUACUCCUUUCUCCCUACAUUCCUGCGAUUCUGAUGGGGCGGCCAAUUACAGGGCCUUAACUUUUUGGCCACAGAGGUGGGCACAUAAUUCAGCUCUGAACAUUCCGGCUACAAUGAUUAGUUCAGGGUAGCGACAGGGGACCCAAGGGGUCAGGCAUUCUUCCCUGUGUUUCUUCACGCUGGGUUCUUCCCCAGGCAUCUACUCCCUCUGGAGUCAUGAACCUGGGAAGAGGUAAAUGUGGAAUUGUCAACGGCUACUUUCCCAGCCAAGUGGAGAUUCCCUGUCUACUAUAUGUGAGAAAGAGAGUAAUGCACGCAAAGAGAAAUAGAGAUAAGGCAUGGAGAUCUGGUGCCCUGUUGCUACCUGUGGUUUGAUUAUAUGAGCUCCUAAAAUGUCCUUUCUCCUUAGCCUAUUUUGAGUUAGGUUUCUGAUCCUUACGAAGGAAGCAAAUAUUUAAAUGACACAGACAGAUGUAAGAAAAGGCAGGUUGCUGUGAGAAGACAAAGCUUUGCAAGUUCAAAUACAAACUUAUAACGCAAGAAAACAAUGGCAAAUUCUGUCAUCUUGUAUUUUCCUCACCUCGAUUCUCCAUCUUUCUUUAUACUGUAUAUAAAAAAUUUCUCAUAAGAUUUUUGAAAUGUU